AACCCCUUCGUCUGUCAUAUGUCAAAAUUUAUUCGACUUAAGUUCGAGAGUGGAAAACUCUUUCUCCACUAUGCAAUCUGCCCCGGCCGAGGUCUUACGAACUCAGUCUCAUAAAUCACAUAGGAUCUCUCCUUAUCUAUCAAGGUCGAUAGAUUCCUUGUAGAUGCAUACCCUACUCCUACAGUGAACUUACUGCAGCCAAUCUACACUGCAUGGACCCAUAUGGCUAGAGACCAUGCAUUUGUGCAGUCAAACUACAAUAACCUCACUGUGAGUAG
This 278-nucleotide long non-coding RNA is filed under the name Phoenix dactylifera (date palm). Its description in RNAcentral is "long non-coding RNA (PDAC_LNC012649)". The record is from RNAcentral. Lineage: Eukaryota; Viridiplantae; Streptophyta; Magnoliopsida; Arecales; Arecaceae.